GUGAAAUGCGUAGAUAUCCGGAGGAAUACCAAAGGCGAAGGCAGUGUUCUGGGAGGUACCUGACGCUGAGGUGCGAAAGCCAGGGGAGCGAACGGGAUUAGAUACCCCGGUAGUCCUGGCGGUAAACGAUGACCACUAGAUGUGUGGGGGCUCGACCCCCUACGUGUCGACGUUAACACGAUAAGUGGUCCGCCUGGGGAGUACGGUCGCAAGAUUAAAACUCAAAGGAAUUGACGGGGACCCGCACAAGCAGCGGAGCGUGUGGUUUAAUUCGAAGCAACGCGAAGAACCUUACCAGGGCUUGACAUGCUCUUGCACCUCUCUGAGAGGAGAGUCCCUUCGGGGCGGGAGCACAGGUGCUGCAUGGCUGUCGUCAGCUCGUGCCGUGAGGUGUUGGGUUAAGUCCCGCAACGGGCGCAACCCCUGUCGUCGGUUGGAGAUGUCCGACGAGACUGCCGCGAUGAACGUGGAGGAAGGUGGGGAUGACGUCAAGUCAGCACGGCCCUUACGUCCUGGGCGACACACACGCUACAAUGGCUGGGACAAGGAGGAGCGAACCCGCGAGGGGGAGCCAAUCUCAGCAAACCCAGUCUCAGUUCGGAUUGCAGGCUGCAACUCGCCUGCAUGAAGUCGGAGUUGCUAGUAACCGUAGGUCAGCACACUACGGUGAAUACGUUCCCGGGUCUUGUACACACCGCCCGUCACACCACGAAAGUCGGCAACCCCUGAAGCCGCUGGGCUAACUCCUUUGAGGAGAGGCAGGCGUCGAGGGUGGGGUCGGUGAUUGGGGUGAAGUCGUAACAAGGUAACCGU
Molecule: ribosomal RNA, 813 nt
Filed under: uncultured bacterium
Lineage: Bacteria
Description: bacterial SSU rRNA
Rfam family: Bacterial small subunit ribosomal RNA
Source: RNAcentral